Molecule: ribosomal RNA, 694 nt
Filed under: Microbacterium maritypicum
Lineage: Bacteria; Bacillati; Actinomycetota; Actinomycetes; Micrococcales; Microbacteriaceae
Description: bacterial SSU rRNA
Rfam family: Bacterial small subunit ribosomal RNA
Source: RNAcentral
GAGCUUGCUCCUGUGGGAUCAGUGGCGAACGGGUGAGUUAACACGUGAGCAACCUGCCCCUGACUCUGGGAUAAGCGCUGGAAACGGCGUCUAAUACUGGAUAUGUGACGUGACCGCAUGGUCUGCGUCUGGAAAGAAUUUCGGUUGGGGAUGGGCUCGCGGCCUAUCAGCUUGUUGGUGAGGUAAUGGCUCACCAAGGCGUCGACGGGUAGCCGGCCUGAGAGGGUGACCGGCCACACUGGGACUGAGACACGGCCCAGACUCCUACGGGAGGCAGCAGUGGGGAAUAUUGCACAAUGGGCGCAAGCCUGAUGCAGCAACGCCGCGUGAGGGACGACGGCCUUCGGGUUGUAAACCUCUUUUAGCAGGGAAGAAGCGAAAGUGACGGUACCUGCAGAAAAAGCGCCGGCUAACUACGUGCCAGCAGCCGCGGUAAUACGUAGGGCGCAAGCGUUAUCCGGAAUUAUUGGGCGUAAAGAGCUCGUAGGCGGUUUGUCGCGUCUGCUGUGAAAUCCGGAGGCUCAACCUCCGGCCUGCAGUGGGUACGGGCAGACUAGAGUGCGGUAGGGGGAGAUUGGAAUUCCUGGUGUAGCGGUGGAAUGCGCAGAUAUCACGAGGAACACCGAUGGCGAAAGCAGAUCUCUGGGCCGUAACUGACGCUGAGGAGCGAAAGGGUGGGGAGCAAACAGGCUUA